Eptesicus fuscus (big brown bat) is the source of this 82-nucleotide non-coding RNA. The record is from Rfam. Lineage: Eukaryota; Metazoa; Chordata; Mammalia; Chiroptera; Vespertilionidae.
ACUGUCUCCAGCCUGCUGAAGCUCAGAGGGCUCUGAUUCAGAAAGAUCAUCGGAUCCGUCUGAGCUUGGCUGGUCGGAAGUC